This 460-nucleotide ribosomal RNA is filed under the name uncultured bacterium. Its description in RNAcentral is "partial 16S ribosomal RNA". It matches the Rfam family "Bacterial small subunit ribosomal RNA", at positions 338 to 795 of the family's 1533-position model. The record is from RNAcentral.
CCUACGGGUGGCAGCAGUGAGGAAUAUUGGUCAAUGGACGAGAGUCUGAACCAGCCAAGUAGCGUGAAGGAUGACUGCCCUAUGGGUUGUAAACUUCUUUUAUAUGGGAAUAAAAUGUUCCACGUGUGGGAUUUUGUAUGUACCAUAUGAAUAAGGAUCGGCUAACUCCGUGCCAGCAGCCGCGGUAAUACGGAGGCUCCGAGCGUUAUCCGGAUUUAUUGGGUUUAAAGGGAGCGUAGGUGGAUUGUUAAGUCAGUUGUGAAAGUUUGCGGCUCAACCGUAAAAUUGCAGUUGAAACUGGCAGUCGUGAGUACAGUAGAGGUGGGCGGAAUUCGUGGUGUAGCGGUGAAAUGCUUAGAUUGCACGAAGAACUCCGAUUGCGAAGGCAGCUCACUGGACUGCAACUGACACUGAGGCUCGAAAGUGUGGGUAUCAAACAGGAUUAGAUACCCCUGUAGUC